ACCAAAGGGCUUACUGGAUGAAGCUAACCAGAUAGAGUGAGACCAGAGAGAAGAAGUGGCCCAGGAAGUCAUAACCUCCUGUUCCUGACUUGGACUUUCUGUAAGUGUGAUUCCCAACCUGGUUACUCAUCAGAAUCAUACAAGGAACAUUAGAAAAGCCUUUGUCCUAUGUCUGGAGACUUCUUGGAAGCUGGAGCACACAAAUAGCUACAGCAAACUUGAGGAAUGGGCAUGAAUAGACUGGCUUCGGGGAACCUGCCAGCUUGGCCGUGUGGCCAAGGUAAUAGGCAAGCCAAGGCAGAGCUAGAGCUCAGAGCUGGAGGGGAAAUUAAAGCAGCAAAUGUAGAAACAUUAAGCCUGAAGAGGCGACGACGUUGAAUUCUAAAAUGCAGGCCAAAGCUCAGACUGCAAGCUGUCUGGCUGCUCCGGGUGUGCCCAGAAGUCAAAGUCCAGCAGGGGCAAAGGUGGAGGUGUGGUCCUGCACGUGGGGUGUUGGGGGGAUGUGGAAGAGGAGGUGCUUUAAGAUCCAGAGAUUCCAGCUGCCCUGGUGCACCCUUGGAAGAAUAAAAGGCUAGGAACUGGACAAGUCAGGCUCGAGUCCAAGCUGCCUGAGGAAUCGGGGAAAGAAUGGAGCUCAGAGUGGGAGGUCAGGGCAGUAUUUAAAAAUCCAGGAUAGCAGCAAAGCUGGCGGUGGCCCCUGACUCUGGUAAGGGCAGCCUGCAGCACCAUGCCAAGGGGGGCCUGACUGAUCAUGCCCUGCAUUUGCAAACAAGGAUUAGUAGGGUAUGAGUAGGAUUCUGCUGGUGCCUGGGAAGGCAGUGCCAUCUACAACUUUACAAAGUUUUAACAAAGGCCUGAAGGACACAACCUUCCCCAAAGUCCUGACGUCGCUGUUUGCUGGCAACAAAUAGAGUCAAAAGAAGAGAGGCACAGAAUGUGCCAGGGGUGUGCUGCGUACAGCCCCGAUGACCACAAGGCCUUCUUGGGUCAAGUUCUGCCAUCUCUGGUUAAGAUGGGCUCACCCUCUAGGACCCUGAUUGAGUCCUCGGACCACCAAGAGUGCCCCACCAAGAGCCUCCCUCUUCUGGUGACUCGUGCCUGCUUCCCGUGGAGAGCUCCAGAAGGGAGGAAACUGUGAGGAGGUGGAGAACGUGGCAGGGAUCCUAACUUUCUUACUGAAGGAAGUUCUUCACAAGUACCCAUCUGCCUUCAGGGAAGAAAACAUAACUCAUUUUGGUCUUUCAAAUUCAGUUCUCAAAACCAAAUCCUGUUGUCAGCAAUCUGUGUCCCAACGCCUUCUUCAGCAACAGCAUUUUCCCUGUGGAAUUAGUUUCCAAUGUUCUUUCUUAAAUAAACCACUGAAGAUUAAAAGGAAUCCAGAUACCCACCACAUUUUGUUUCCUUAAUGAGUAAUUAUCACAUUUCUUUGGCUACUUAAAUGCAUUCUCUGAGUCAGGUAAAGGAGAUCGUAAUAGUUAAUCAACAAGAAGUAAUUCUUGGGUACUUAACAAUAGUCUAAGCACUUAAUCAUACUUAAAAUUGACUAUUAAUGAACCUUAUAAACCAUUUUGCAAUUCUGAAAGUGAAUUUCUCUGCAGGCUUAGAGAUUACUAAGCCAUUUAGAUCUUACCAAACAAAUAUUAUUCAUGCUUUAAUUCCUGGGAAAAGAAAUUUAGAAAAUGAGGUUAAUGUUCAGUUGUCCUUUCCUGAGUUUAACAAUUAUAUAUUCCAUCUGGGAUGCUCUGAACUCAGGUUAAACAUUCUUCAAGUUAUUCCCACAUUUUUCAAGUUAUUCCCACGUUAGUGACCUACUUUAUUAGUAUUAUUACUAAAGAAAAGGGCUGGGUGCGGUGGCCCACAUCUGUAAUCCCAGCACUUUGGGAGGCUGAAGCAGGAGGAUCACUUGAGCUUGGGAGUUCAAGACCAGCCUGAGAGGGAGACUCCGUCUCUACAAAAAAAAAAAAAUUAGCCAGGUAUG
RNAcentral lists this long non-coding RNA (1978 nucleotides) under Homo sapiens (human). Its description in RNAcentral is "HSALNT0337076". The record is from RNAcentral. Lineage: Eukaryota; Metazoa; Chordata; Mammalia; Primates; Hominidae.